AUACGUAGGUGACAAGCGUUAUCCGGAUUUACUGGGCGUAAAGGGCGUGUAGGCGGUCUUGCAAGUCAGAUGUGAAAUACCGGGGCUUAACCCCGGAGCUGCAUUUGAAACUGUGGUUCUUGAGUGAAGUAGAGGCAAGAGGAAUUCCUAGUGUAGCGGUAAAAUGCGGAGAUAUUUGGAGGAACACCGGUGGCGAAGGCGGCUUUCUGGACAGUAACUGACGCUGAGGCGCGAAAGCGUGGGGAGCAAACAGGAUUAGAUACCCUGGUGGUCCACGCCGUAAACGAUGAAUACUAGGUGUAGGGGGUAUCGACUCCCUCUGUGCCGCAGUUAACACAAUAAGUAUUCCGCCUGGGGAGUACGGCCGCAAGGUUGAAACUCAAAUGAAUUGACGGG
This 396-nucleotide ribosomal RNA is filed under the name uncultured bacterium. RNAcentral's name for it is "partial 16S ribosomal RNA". It matches the Rfam family "Bacterial small subunit ribosomal RNA", at positions 523 to 917 of the family's 1533-position model. The record is from RNAcentral.